AUUUAGGUCACAGUUCAUCAUCAGUGGAAGCCAAAGCAGAAACUCAACACAAAAGUCUGGAGGCUGGAGCUGAAGCAGAAACCAUGGAGGGACACUGCUGUUUGGCUUAAUUUCCUGGACUUGCUCAGCUACAUUUCCUCAGCAGCCCAGCCCUACCUGUCCAGGGAUUGUACUGCUCAGAGUGGGCUGGGCCCUAGCAACCAAGGAAAUGCCUCACAGACAUAUCCACAGGCCAAUCUGACGGAGGCGGCUCCUCAACUGAGCUCUCCUCUUCCCAGCAAUGAAACCUUAACUAAGACAACGAUGAAGAUGAGCCAUCUUGUUUCCUGUUUUGAAAGCUUUAUGGAGCACAUGCUGUCUUCUGUCUUUUGAACUUGCUCUCCCCUCCGCCAUCACCUCUGGUUAUUGGGUACUGAUGAUUGGUGUCUGUAUGAAUUUUGCCAUGCAAACCCUGAAGAAUUAAAACCUGUGGUCUGGGUUUAGU
Molecule: long non-coding RNA, 484 nt
Filed under: Rattus norvegicus (Norway rat)
Lineage: Eukaryota; Metazoa; Chordata; Mammalia; Rodentia; Muridae
Description: long non-coding RNA NONRATT011911
Source: RNAcentral